UAUUAAAAUUUUCAUCCAUUUGUACUAUUAAAAAUUGAUGCGGUUGACUAGAAAACUAGAUAGUGACAUGUGGCAUGCCAUGUGUAUCUCAUGCUGUGUACGAGGAUCAAUUUUUACUAGUAUAAAUAGAUGAAAUUUUUAACA
Gossypium arboreum is the source of this 144-nucleotide non-coding RNA. Lineage: Eukaryota; Viridiplantae; Streptophyta; Magnoliopsida; Malvales; Malvaceae. The record is from Rfam.